UUGUAGCUAUGAUGUUGGCCCGGCUCACUCAGAUGAAUCUAUCUCUAUCAUCGAUGUAGCAAAAUGCAUGAAUCGGACGCAUUGCAGUACAUCUCUUAGUGCAAUGUUCCAUGCUGAUGACACUACUGAUUGAGCCGUGCCAAUAUCUCAGCACCAUUU
RNAcentral lists this microRNA precursor (159 nucleotides) under Leersia perrieri. The record is from RNAcentral. Lineage: Eukaryota; Viridiplantae; Streptophyta; Magnoliopsida; Poales; Poaceae.